This 252-nucleotide ribosomal RNA is filed under the name uncultured bacterium. Its description in RNAcentral is "partial 16S ribosomal RNA". It matches the Rfam family "Bacterial small subunit ribosomal RNA", at positions 526 to 777 of the family's 1533-position model. The record is from RNAcentral.
CAGAGGUCCCAAGCGUUGUUCGGAUUCACUGGGCGUAAAGGGUGCGUAGGCGGUCGGGUAAGUCUGAUGUGAAAUCUCACAGCUUAACUGUGAAACUGCAUUGGAUACUAUCCGGCUCGAGGAGUGGAGGGGAGACUGGAAUACUUGGUGUAGCAGUGAAAUGCGUAGAUAUCAAGUGGAACACCAGUGGCGAAGGCGAGUCUCUGGAUAUUUCCUGACGCUGAGGCACGAAAGCCAGGGGAGCAAAACGGG